Molecule: ribosomal RNA, 545 nt
Filed under: uncultured Gigasporaceae
Lineage: Eukaryota; Fungi; Glomeromycota; Glomeromycetes; Diversisporales; Gigasporaceae
Description: SSU rRNA
Rfam family: Eukaryotic small subunit ribosomal RNA
Source: RNAcentral
UUGGAGGGCAAGUCUGGUGCCAGCAGCCGCGGUAAUUCCAGCUCCAAUAGCGUAUAUUAAAGUUGUUGCAGUUAAAAAGCUCGUAGUUGAAUUUCGGGGUUCUACCGUUGGUCGGGCAAUAGUCUGUACUGGCGUGUAGAAUUUCUACCUUCUGGGGAACUAUCAUGUUAUUUAUUUAGCGUGGUAGGAAACCAGGACCUUUACCUUGAAAAAAUUAGAGUGUUCAAAGCAGGCUUACGUCUGAAUACAUUAGCAUGGAAUAAUAAAAUAGGACGGUGGUCCUGUUUUGUUGGUUUCUGAAUCACCGUAAUGAUUAAUAGGGAUAGUUGGGGGCAUUAGUAUUCAAUUGUCAGAGGUGAAAUUCUUGGAUUUAUUGAAGACUAACUUCUGCGAAAGCAUUUGCCAAGGGUGUUUUCAUUAAUCAAGAACGAAAGUUAGGGGGUCGAAGACGAUCAGAUACCGUCGUAGUCUUAACCAUAAACUAUGCCGACUAGGGAUCGGACGAUGUUAAUUUUUCUUGACUCGUUCGGCACCUUACGGGAAAC